AGCCAAAGUAUUCCAAUUCUAAAUUAAUUUAUAACAUAAAUAAAUAGCCAAUCGUUAAGCAAACAUUAGACCCAGGCCAAACCGAAUUUUGAAAAAAUAAAUACUUUGAGAUUUAAUUCCCUUCUUCACUUUUCUCAUGGGAUUUUUUCGUUAAAUUAUUCGCUUUUUCGUGACCCAAGUGCAUUCUAGUCUGUGACGAUGUGCGACUCAAAGACCGAGAUCAUCUGGAAAUAUGCAUUCCGACAAAGAGUACAAAAUACUUAUGUAUGUACAACUAUGCAUCAGCCAAGAUUUUCCUGAUCGAGAGCGCAACAUCAUUUUUUCAGCGUCUCCAUCACCAAAAUUGGUACGUUCAUGAAUUCCGAGCACAUCAAUCGACCUGGAACGAUAUGAGAUUCAAACCGGAAGACUUCACACGCAAUUAAAGAUAAUAAUUAAAUUUUACAAUAAUUUUAAAAUGGACAGAAUUUACAUAAAUAGAGAAUUCCUCCCAUCUGA
Folsomia candida is the source of this 498-nucleotide long non-coding RNA. RefSeq lists it as uncharacterized. Lineage: Eukaryota; Metazoa; Arthropoda; Collembola; Entomobryomorpha; Isotomidae. The record is from RefSeq and is a predicted model, not a curated record. The transcript has 3 exons.